Perca fluviatilis (European perch) is the source of this 361-nucleotide long non-coding RNA. RefSeq lists it as uncharacterized. NCBI's taxonomy places the organism in Eukaryota, Metazoa, Chordata, Actinopteri, Perciformes, Percidae. The transcript has 2 exons. The record is from RefSeq and is a predicted model, not a curated record.
GUUCUCUGAAGGAGCAAAGCAGGUGAAAUCAGAAUCAUGGGACAUUUUCACCAUUAGUGUUGUGACGUCUCGAGGUCAAAGCCAUUAUGUAUUGCAACGAUGACGCACUUUGAGUGUCGCACGGCCUCCUUACCUUUGUCUCAUCAGUGGGAUGUUGAUACAGUUAGCAGCAGCUACAGCAGCAAAUGGAACAAACCGACCAAUCAGGGGGGAGAUGUGCUACAGCAGGAGAGAGGAGGCAUAAAAACAAAAAGCUGAACUACUGGCAGACCAGGGACAUACCAAAGCGCAUGCAGGAAUCUGCAGCAGCAUGAUGAAACUCCUCCUGAAAUUGCACCAAAGAUGGCUGCUGGAUUGACAA